Molecule: ribosomal RNA, 253 nt
Filed under: uncultured bacterium
Lineage: Bacteria
Description: partial 16S ribosomal RNA
Rfam family: Bacterial small subunit ribosomal RNA
Source: RNAcentral
UACGUAGGGCGCAAGCGUUGUCCGGAAUUAUUGGGCGUAAAGAGCUCGUAGGCGGCUUGUCACGUCGGAUGUGAAAGCCCGGGGCUUAACCCCGGGUCUGCAUUCGAUACGGGCAGGCUAGAGUUCGGUAGGGGAGACUGGAAUUCCUGGUGUAGCGGUGAAAUGCGCAGAUAUCAGGAGGAACACCGGUGGCGAAGGCGGGUCUCUGGGCCGAUACUGACGCUGAGGAGCGAAAGCGUGGGGAGCGAACAGG